CCUAGAUGAAGAAGGCAUGAAAGUAUGGUUUUUAUAUUGAUCUAGAAAAUAAUAAUCUUUUGUAAUAUUUCAAUCCUUUAAUUCUUUUUCAUAUGUAAAGAUAUUUACAUAUUGCUGUACACCCUGUGUGUAUUAAGUAAUAUUUAAGUGAGGCGCGCAACUAACAUGCUCUGCGCUGGACUUUAGAUUCUGCUGGUCUAUUGAACUAUUGAAAUUUUAGUUCCUCAAAUUAGCAACGUGCUAGCAAUGUCUUAAUACGCCUCCUUUUUUAGACCAGAACACCUAUGGGCGUACAUAUGAGCGGAAAUGUAUUUGCUAUUUAAACAGUAUGGUGCAAAAUGUCAAAUUGACUCUUGAAACUAGCAAACAACAAUUGCGUCGCGCCUCGCGCCACAUUGCACCGGGUGUAUGAUAGGGCCCUUAAUGUUACAUCCCAUUCUAUAUAACAAAAACACGCAACAUAGCCCAUUCCUCUUACUUUUUCUACUUCGAAGAAGAGAGAAGAGAACAUAGCAUUACUGCUUGAAUUGACUCCGAAAUGUUAAGCAUUUUAUCACAAUGGAUUUAUUAACACGCUUUGGAUUCAAUGUAAAAGGUUUGUGUACAUGACAAAUAUUUCAGAUAUGCAUCUGUAAAAAACGCAUAAGAAAAUUUCGGUGUGCAAAGACCUUUUUCCUUAUCGUGGAUUAUUUAGGCCCACACGGAAUCUGCGCGCACAGAAAUCUGCAGAUUUAUCGCCCAUGAUUAUUUACUUUUGUAAAUGUGUGUAAAUGUAAAUAUUCAAAAAUAUUUUUGCCAAAUUUGAAAAUGUUCAUAUGAUUUAUUUACAAUACAUCACUUUCUGUCUUUUAGUAGAUAUAUUAUAUGAGAGAUUUGCUUUGCUAACCAGUUAUGUGAAUCUAAUUGAAUUUGCAUUGUAAACAUUAAAUAAAAGUUAAAAAUGUAUUAAUUUUUGUUUCAUAUAUUGUGUUUUUAGUUAUGAUAAAUUAUUUCACAUAAAAUCUGCAGAUUUUUUUACAAAACUCUGCACAGAAAUAGCAAAACUCACUGCAUUACUGCAUUACUCACUGUGUAAACAGAUUCUCAGCUGUCAGACAGAGAGUCAGUCAUUUCUGCCCCACAGACUCCCUCAGGCUUACAGAUCAUUUCUUCCUUGUUUUAGGAAAGACUCUGACACAACCUUCUGUUUUCCAUCAGCCUGGCGUCCGACAGUUUUUCCAUCACUCUUGAACACUAUCGAUCCAUCCGUCUCUCUUCGGCCUCAUCCCUGCACACGUGUGUUUGCAGCAUAUAGUACGGCUGAAACCCAUUUCACCUCUGAUUCCAGACCACUUGGCUUUUCUGUCCGCUGCUUUCAACAACACGAGGCAGCUCGCAAUGUCACGCUGAGCUGGAGGCAGAAUAUUUUGUCCCGUCCAGCAGUCGAGCGGCAUCCCAUCAGCCUGAGGACAGCGCAGGCAACUGGCCAGAGAAGACAGACAGACAAAAGGUUCAUAUGUAUUCCUGCCAAAGCAGCAGCACAUUCUGUCUGGCUUUUAAGCUCCCCGAUGACUUUAUUCUAAUGGAUGUGGUUUAAAUGCCCUCUUGUGGUUUGGUGGCAUAAAUCCUCAUAAAAGCAACCAAAGACUCACCACACCUUCAAAACAAUCCAACAGGUGCGUAGACCAAAACAUCCCAAAGAAUGAAGCAGCUGAGAAAGAAAGUCUGAACACUCUCAAAUAUCAAGAUGAAGUGAUAUAGGGAAGUGUCAUUGGAUAAAAGGCAAACAUUUACAUAAUUUCCUUUUUGACCAGUCAAUGCAACAAUCUUUUUUCCAGUAAAUAGCUUGUCACUUUAUCACGCUUGUGCCUUUUGAUUAAGGUUUGGAUUUUUUGAGAGUGUGCAGACUUAUUCGCACUUGCUUCAUACAUUCUCAUAUAUACACAAUUUAGUGUUAAACUAAAUCAUUAAAAAUUAUAGUUGCUUGAUUGUUUGUUCAUUGUACCUCCUUCUGUUUGCACUCUCAGAAAUAAAGGUAUGCUGUUACUGUGGAUUUACCUUUACACAUUUGUA
This 2052-nucleotide long non-coding RNA is filed under the name Danio rerio (zebrafish). RNAcentral describes it as "lncRNA (ENSDARG00000117697.1)". Lineage: Eukaryota; Metazoa; Chordata; Actinopteri; Cypriniformes; Danionidae. The record is from RNAcentral.